Long non-coding RNA from Hevea brasiliensis (rubber tree), 449 nucleotides. RefSeq lists it as uncharacterized. The transcript is spliced from 2 exons. The record is from RefSeq and is a predicted model, not a curated record. Lineage: Eukaryota; Viridiplantae; Streptophyta; Magnoliopsida; Malpighiales; Euphorbiaceae.
CAUAUCCAUGCUCAAUUCUUGCAGAACCACAGACCUGUUCUGCUCACACCCAUAGCAGGCAGCAACCAGCAUGCCACCCAAAACCGACAUCAACUCAGGAUCACUGAAAAACACAAAUGGCAGAUCGUAUACCUGUUUUAUUCCAGGACUCUUUCCCCACCGAAGAACAGCUUGAUUUUCAGGGCAGAACAGGGCAAAAUAACCAAGAAGCAAAAGAGAUUCAUGCAGAAGCAACCCAACCUGAUAUAAAUUGGAGAUGUUAUAGCUUUAUGCAGAUGUUCCAGAAAUACAUACUUCAUACACAGUUGUAUGAUAGUGCAACUAAAAUUCAUCACUAUUCCCAUUUUAACCCACCUCCAAAAUAAUUUGUUUCAAAGUCACAUUUGCUAUAUGUAAAAAUUGCUUACAUUUAGAUCAUAAUCUUAUAUAUAAUUUACAAGUUGAAAGCU